CGCUGCCACAGCCGCUGGAGAGGAGCUCCGGGAGGACGGUGGCCCGCGAGGCUCCUCGCAGACAAGGCGGUGGCGAUGUCCGGGAGCCAGGCGACACAAAGUAAUAAUUGUUGGGCUGGAUAAUGCAGGGAAAACUACCAUCCUUUACCAAUUUUCUAUGAAUGAAGUGGUACAUACAUCCCCUACAAUAGGAAGUAAUGUAGAAGAGAUAGUGGUUAAUAAUACACGUUUCCUAAUGUGGGAUAUUGGUGGCCAAGAAUCUCUUCGUUCUUCCUGGAACACUUACUAUACAAACACGAACUUUGUAUAGUGGUUGUGGACAAUACAGCAGAGAAAGGAUUUCUAUAACUAGAGAAGAACUCUAUAAAAUGUUAGCACAUGAGGACCUAAGGAAAGCUGGAUUGCUGAUUUUCGCUAAUAAACAAGAUGUUAAAGAAUGCAUGACUGUAGCAGAAAUCUCCCAGUUUUUGAAAUUCACUUCUUUUAAAGAUCAUCAAUGGCAUAUUCAGGCAUGCUGUGGCCUUACUGGUGAGGGACUGUGCCAAGGACUUGAAUGGAAGAUGUCACGACUUAAGAUUAGAUGAUUUCUACUGACCUCUUCUUAUAGACUUUGUGUAAAUGAAGUGCUGGACUUUAUCUGAAAGCUGCAACAAUUAAUGGUUUAGAUAUAUUUAUAAUAAACUGAUUUAAAUUUUUUUCUAGAAGAAAAAUUAAGACCACUUAUUUGAAAACAAAGAUGAAGAAUCACCUUCCAGUUUGCUUUCUCAUUUGUUCCUUCCAAAGUCAGGUCUUGAAAGCUGUGAUUGACUUUUUUCUCAUAAUGAAUCCUCUCAGGACGUUGUGUAGCCUGUGGUAAGUACAAAGGGAGAGGAGAAUAUUUUUACUUUUGAGAACUUUAUCAUCAAUAUAACCCUUCCCUAGUUGAAUGUUGUUCUCUUCUUAUUCCAUUAAGUCAAAAUACAAAUCAGCACAGACACUCAGUUUCCAAUAUUUUAAAAUGUAAUGUUGCUAUUGAAAAGUCUUUUAUAUUAAGAUUGUGUAUGUAUUGUAUAUAUACCUCAAGUUCAAAUUAAUGGCUUUGACUUACAUUACAAGGAAAAGUAAAUAAUACAAAACCUAAUGAUAGCCUUAAUUAUAACCAUGGUGACAUGAGUACUGGCAUUGGUGUUGUCAUUUUGUGUUUUUCUCUUUAUGUUCUCUGUAUUGUACUAACCAAUCCUAAAAAUCAUCAAACUGCUUUAAAAGAAAGGUAGAAGAGGAAGAAAGCUUGAUAUUUUUGUACAUGUUUUCUUAUUGAUCAAAUAACUUACAGAAACGUGUAAUACAACUGAGUGGAAUAUAUAUCAAAUAUAUCAAAUCCUUGGCUUAGUGUUACUAAUGGGCAGAAUUGCACAGUGAGCAAUUAUCAAAUUAUUGCUUUUAUUGGUCCAUUGCCACGUAUAUUACUGAAUAAACUGUUAAUCCAUUAA
Non-coding RNA from Orycteropus afer afer, 1469 nucleotides. Lineage: Eukaryota; Metazoa; Chordata; Mammalia; Tubulidentata; Orycteropodidae. The record is from RefSeq and is a predicted model, not a curated record.